GGACACGUGGCCGAGUGGUCGAAGGCGCUCCCCUGCUAAGGGAGUAGGCCCGGAAGGGUCUCGAGGGUUCGAAUCCCUCCGUGUCCGCCA
Molecule: transfer RNA, 90 nt
Filed under: Pseudovibrio exalbescens
Lineage: Bacteria; Pseudomonadati; Pseudomonadota; Alphaproteobacteria; Hyphomicrobiales; Stappiaceae
Also listed under: 26 other names
Description: tRNA-Ser
Rfam family: tRNA
About the family: Transfer RNA (tRNA) molecules are approximately 80 nucleotides in length. Their secondary structure includes four short double-helical elements and three loops (D, anti-codon, and T loops). Further hydrogen bonds mediate the characteristic L-shaped molecular structure. tRNAs have two regions of fundamental functional importance: the anti-codon, which is responsible for specific mRNA codon recognition, and the 3' end, to which the tRNAs corresponding amino acid is attached (by aminoacyl-tRNA synthetases). tRNAs cope with the degeneracy of the genetic code in two manners: having more than one tRNA (with a specific anti-codon) for a particular amino acid; and 'wobble' base-pairing, i.e. permitting non-standard base-pairing at the 3rd anti-codon position.
Source: RNAcentral